AGAUGUUGCUGAUUAUAAAAUCCUGGUGCAGGAGAGUCAUUACUCCAAGUCCCUCCUAAUGUAAACUUUAAUUCACAGCUUAAAAAAGGGCCCAGCAUCAAACUCAGCUCCUUUUAAGGAAUGCCUGUAUUUCAUGCUGUGCGGGUAGCUGUGACAUGCGAAGGCUGAACCAGCAUUUCUCUGGCCUGCCCUGCUGAGUGUGCAGUGAGACCCUCCUUGAGGAUACCUCUGAGAGACAGACCAGCAUGGGCUGAGGCAGACUGGGAGCUGUGGUCACUCUACUGGAGCCUUUAUGUCUGUUUCUUCUUGGUGGUAUUUCCCCUCCUAUCAAAAUGAACCUCCAUCCCUGGGGAUUCCCAGAACCUGACAAGACCCUCAAAAACCUGAUCUAACUUAGAAGGCAGCCCUGCUUUGAAUAGGGGAGGUGAACUAGAUACCUUCCAAGGUCCCUUCUUACAUAAAUCAUUCCAUGACUCUAUUCAUGCUCCAUACCUAAAGACUGACAAGGCCCUGAGUGAAUCAAAAAGCUCUAAAUGCCAUCAUCAGCCUCUAACCAUCUUCAUCUGUGACUCCCCCACUACAACCUUUUCCUCACACCCAGGAGUCCGGCUGUCUGUGUUUAAGGUUAGCUCUGAUUUGGUACAGCUGGGUGGCCUUAGACCAGUCUACUGUGAAAACAGCUGAUUUGUGGGAGAGAACAGCAAGAAGCCUCAUCUGGGGCCUCCCAAGGUUGACUCAGGCUCUUGCCUUUGGUCUAUGCCUGAGCUGUGUCGUAGGCAUACCAUGCCCAGCCCUGUGUCUUGCUUUUAUCAUGUUGACUUGACUUUCUGGCUCGAUCUUGGGCUUGCCUCAUCACUACAGACUCGCCUGGCGAUCACUGGACUGUGGAUGACUCUGGUUCUUGUCACUGGACCUGCUCUGCUCUUCUUGCCCAGAUACGCUACUGCAGAUUACACUUGCUAAGCUUUCAAAGCAGGAGAUGCCAGUGCCGGAGGUCAAGUCGUCGCUCUUCUGCUUCCUUACACUUCAGAGUAAACCUGGAUCAUUCUUUUAAAUCAGGCACUCGCGUUUUUCUUACCUGCUUCUGCUGAGCUGAACAGCAAGAGGACAGCAAGAACAACGAGGGGCUUUCUCUUUGGAUCAUCAA
This is a long non-coding RNA of Harpia harpyja (harpy eagle), 1147 nucleotides long. RefSeq lists it as uncharacterized. The transcript is spliced from 3 exons. The record is from RefSeq and is a predicted model, not a curated record. NCBI's taxonomy places the organism in Eukaryota, Metazoa, Chordata, Aves, Accipitriformes, Accipitridae.